GCCAGCAUAGCUCAGUGGUUGAGCGUUGAUCUAUGAACCAGGAGGUCAUGGUUCAAUUCCUUGUCAGGGCA
Myotis lucifugus (little brown bat) is the source of this 71-nucleotide non-coding RNA. The record is from Rfam. Lineage: Eukaryota; Metazoa; Chordata; Mammalia; Chiroptera; Vespertilionidae.